GAUGAACGCUGGCGGCGUGCCUAAUACAUGCAAGUCGAGCGAACAGACGAGGAGCUUGCUCCUUCGACGUUAGCGGCGGACGGGUGAGUAACACGUAGGUAACCUACCUAUAAGACUGGGAUAACUUCGGGAAACCGGAGCUAAUACCGGAUAAUAUUUCGAACCGCAUGGUUCGAUAGUGAAAGAUGGCUUUGCUAUCACUUAUAGAUGGACCUGCGCCGUAUUAGCUAGUUGGUAAGGUAACGGCUUACCAAGGCAACGAUACGUAGCCGACCUGAGAGGGUGAUCGGCCACACUGGAACUGAGACACGGUCCAGACUCCUACGGGAGGCAGCAGUAGGGAAUCUUCCGCAAUGGGCGAAAGUCUGACGGAGCAACGCCGCGUGAGUGAUGAAGGUCUUCGGAUCGUAAAACUCUGUUAUUAGGGAAGAACAAACGUGUAAGUAACUGUGCACGUCUUGACGGUACCUAAUCAGAAAGCCACGGCUAACUACGUG
This 497-nucleotide ribosomal RNA is filed under the name uncultured bacterium. RNAcentral describes it as "partial 16S ribosomal RNA". It matches the Rfam family "Bacterial small subunit ribosomal RNA", at positions 28 to 507 of the family's 1533-position model. The record is from RNAcentral.